GAUGAACGCUGGCGGCGUGCCUAAUACAUGCAAGUCGAGCGAACAGACGAGGAGCUUGCUCCUCUGACGUUAGCGGCGGACGGGUGAGUAACACGUGGAUAACCUACCUAUAAGACUGGGAUAACUUCGGGAAACCGGAGCUAAUACCGGAUAAUAUGUUGAACCGCAUGGUUCAACAGUGAAAGACGGUUUUGCUGUCACUUAUAGAUGGAUCCGCGUCGCAUUAGCUAGUUGGUAAGGUAACGGCUUACCAAGGCAACGAUGCGUAGCCGACCUGAGAGGGUGAUCGGCCACACUGGAACUGAGACACGGUCCAGACUCCUACGGGAGGCAGCAGUAGGGAAUCUUCCGCAAUGGGCGAAAGCCUGACGGAGCAACGCCGCGUGAGUGAAGAAGGUCUUCGGAUCGUAAAACUCUGUUAUUAGGGAAGAACAAAUGUGUAAGUAACUAUGCACGUCUUGACGGUACCUAAUCAGAAAGCCACGGCUAACUACGUG
This 497-nucleotide ribosomal RNA is filed under the name uncultured bacterium. RNAcentral describes it as "partial 16S ribosomal RNA". It matches the Rfam family "Bacterial small subunit ribosomal RNA", at positions 28 to 507 of the family's 1533-position model. The record is from RNAcentral.